GUCGGAGUGGCGGAAUUGGCAGACGCGCCAGCUUGAGGGGCUGGUGUCCGCAAGGACGUGGGGGUUCAAGUCCCCCCUCCGACACCA
RNAcentral lists this transfer RNA (87 nucleotides) under Actinomycetes bacterium. RNAcentral describes it as "tRNA-Leu". It matches the Rfam family "tRNA". From Rfam's summary of the family: Transfer RNA (tRNA) molecules are approximately 80 nucleotides in length. Their secondary structure includes four short double-helical elements and three loops (D, anti-codon, and T loops). Lineage: Bacteria; Bacillati; Actinomycetota; Actinomycetes. The record is from RNAcentral.